CAGCCGCCGCGGUAAUACGAAGGGGGCUAGCGUUGCUCGGAAUUACUGGGCGUAAAGCGCGCGUAGGCGGUUACUCAAGUCAGAGGUGAAAGCCCGGGGCUCAACCCCGGAACUGCCUUUGAAACUAGGUGACUAGAAUCUCGGAGAGGUCAGUGGAAUUCCGAGUGUAGAGGUGAAAUUCGUAGAUAUUCGGAAGAACACCAGUGGCGAAGGCGACUGACUGGACAAGUAUUGACGCUGAGGUGCGAAAGCGUGGGGAGCAAACAGGAUUAGAUACCCCGGUAGUCCCUGUCUCUUAUAC
RNAcentral lists this ribosomal RNA (301 nucleotides) under uncultured bacterium. Its description in RNAcentral is "partial 16S ribosomal RNA". It matches the Rfam family "Bacterial small subunit ribosomal RNA", at positions 509 to 807 of the family's 1533-position model. The record is from RNAcentral.